UGGGGAAUAUUGCACAAUGGGGGAAACCCUGAUGCAGCUACGCCGCGUGAACGAAGAAGGUAUUCGUAUCGUAAAGUUCUGUCCUAUGGGAAGAUAAUGACAGUACCAUAGAAGAAAGCUCCGGCUAAAUACGUGCCAGCAGCCCCGGUAAUACGUAUGGAGCGUGCGUUGUCCGGAAUUAUUGGGCGUAAAGGGUACGCAGGCGGUUUAAUAAGUCGAAUGUUAAAGAUCGGGGCUCAACCCCGUAAAGCAUGCGAAACUGAUAAACUUGAGUAGUGGAGAGGAAAGUGGAAUUCCUAGUGUAGUGGUGAAAUACGUAGAUAGUAGGAGGAAUACCAGUAGCGAAGGCGACUUUCUGGACACAAACUGACGCUGAGGUACGAAAGCGUGGGGAGCAAACGAG
RNAcentral lists this ribosomal RNA (403 nucleotides) under bacterium. RNAcentral's name for it is "partial 16S ribosomal RNA". It matches the Rfam family "Bacterial small subunit ribosomal RNA", at positions 355 to 776 of the family's 1533-position model. The record is from RNAcentral.